Molecule: long non-coding RNA, 570 nt
Organism: Anopheles gambiae (African malaria mosquito)
Lineage: Eukaryota; Metazoa; Arthropoda; Insecta; Diptera; Culicidae
Exons: 2
Source: RefSeq, a predicted model, not a curated record
AGAGGGAGAGAAAAAAAGGGAAAGUGAGAGUGAUGAGAAAGCGAAAAAAGUGCCGUCACAGUGGUCCCCCGCACGAAUCUCAUUAUUAUUGAAUUUAGUAAUUUGCCAUUAGACCGGAGAAUGCUGGAAUCGGGCGCGCAUGUGAGAAGAGAUGACAAGGGGGAUAUUAUCGGCAAUAGGAAGAUUACCCGUUUCGGAUGGAAAAUUCUCGAGCCGUAGCAAAAGGAAUUCGUCCCCUUGGUCCCCUUGGGGUAGACUGUUUAAGUGCAGACGAGUUUCAUUAAUUGAUUGGAUCGGAAUGUUUGUGGAAUCGAAGCGAGAACAAAAACAUUGGAGGAAUAAUUUAAGGUGAGCUGCAGAAUAGUACGGGAUUUACUGUAUUGUGGGUACCGAGCGAAACUGGCGAUACGGUGAUAUACAAAUCCCUCAAACUGCGUUCUGGAAAUCAGACAAACAAGAGUUGGGUUUUGAAACUCAAGAAAGCAAACCAUUGUUUCGGGGCUGCUGGAAAUGCCAUCGAUACCGGGUUUGGUGGAACUUCAAAAUCAAUAAACACACAAGCUUGCAGAA